This 1981-nucleotide long non-coding RNA is filed under the name Homo sapiens (human). RNAcentral's name for it is "PREDICTED lncRNA (TCONS_00100618)". The record is from RNAcentral. Lineage: Eukaryota; Metazoa; Chordata; Mammalia; Primates; Hominidae.
GGACUCCUUCAGCGCGCUGCCUGCCUGCCCAGGGCCUUCCCGGAGAGCAGGUGACGGCGGCCUCCGGGCAUGGAGCUCGCGCUGACGAAAGGUUCUGGAAGCCGCCGUAAAAAGUAAUCAAGAAACGGGUGACAGGACUUUUCGAACAAGGUCUCACCAUGCUGCCCAAGCUGGUCUGAAAACUCUUGUCCUCAGGCAGUCCUCCCACCUCGGCCUCCCAAAGAUCUGAGAUUACAGGCAUGAGCCACCACACCUGGCCUUGGUUUUAAUUCCUGUCACAGUAUAUUAGUUUUCGCUGUUGUGUAUUGAUUGAUUGAGACAGGGUCUCGCUCUGUUGCCCAGGCUGGAGUGCAGGGGCAUGAUCCCAGCUCACUGCAACCUCCACCUCUUGGAUUCAAGUGAUUCUCCCGUCUCAGCCUCCCGAGUAACAGGAACCACAGGUGUGUGCCAGCACGCCUGGCUAAUUUUUUUUUUUUUUUUCUUGAGGUGGAGUUUCACUGUUGUUGCCCAGGUUGGAGUGCAGUGGCACAAUCUCAGCUCACUGCAACCUCUGCCUCCUGGGUUCAAGUGAUUCUCCUGCUUCAGCCUCACGAGUUGUUGGGAUUACAGGCGCCCGCCACCACGCCCAGGUAAUUUUUGUUUAGUAGAGACGGGGUUUCACCAUGUUGGCCUGGCUGGUCUCGAACUCCUGACCUCAGGUGAUCCACCCACCUCGGCCUCCCAAAGUUGUGGGAUUGCAGGCGUGAGCCACUGCGCCUGGCCUAAUUUUUCAAUUUUUUGGUGGAGAUAGGGUUUCACCAUGUUGGCCAGGCUGGAGUUUUGCCUGUUCUAGAAGCUUGUAUCAGUCAUACAACACCCCUUUGAGGAACCGUUUGAGGUGUGGCACGAUACAGCAAGUCAGCUGCCAAAGAGGGGCUUAGCCACAGGAAGUGCGUGCCCAGAACGCAUCUCCCGUGUCCCUCACAGCAGUUCUAUGAGGCUGGCUGCCCUGUUUGACAACUGAGGCCCGCAUCUUCCCCGGAAUCACCGACGUGUGGCUCUGAGCCCUGUCCCAGGGAUUUUCUCCAUCAGAGAAGAGGAGCACUUUGAGCUUUGAGAGGAGCAGCCCUCUGCAAGUGAAGUGGAAAAAAAGGAAGCAGGCGAGGAGGCCCAUCCAGACCCUCCCCCAAGACCCUUGCUGAAAUGGCUGGGAUGCGGCGUGCAGAAGCUCUCCUUUCCUUCACAGCCCCUGGCUUUCCAAGAGUCCCUGCCCACCCAGAUGCCCGCUGGCAGAUGCAGCCUCAUCUCAAGGACACUGCUUGCUGGAUAAAUCCCUCACCACCCUAGAGACAGCCCACGGUCCUGAGACAAGGAUGCGGGCCAGGCUUGUUGCACGUAAGCGCCUCCCGCAGAAACCAGUGAGGCCGGAGUUCCAGAGGAAAUGAUGUAGGGACAGAGGCAGAGGGCCUCCAGGAGGCACCAGCCCCAGAGUCUUCCCUAGAAUCAGACUUUAAGCACAAGCAGGGAGGGAAAGCACUUGAGCAGUGCCCGUCCCUGCAUACCUGGCCUCUGCUGGAACCCAUGCAGGGACAGGACACUUCUUUAUCAGCAAUCCUGUUCCUCUCCUGGGCAGCUUCAACCUGAACAUCCUCCUUCACCUUGAGCUAAAAUGGGUUUCUUGUCACCCUUGCCCAUCAAACCUGGCCUUGCCCUCAGGAACCACACAGGACAAGCCUAAUACUUCCUUCUUGUGGCAACACUUUAGCAAUUGAGACCUGGCUGUCAGGUCCUCCAAAUAAACAUUUGUGACUGUGAUGUUGACUUGCCGCUUCUGGGGACCUCUUCUCAUUUGAUCGGAGAAAGUUUUUCAGGGUUAAACCUACUUCUUUCCCCCAAGAAACUCUUCUUGUCAGGCUCACGCCUAUAAUCCUGGCACUUUGGGAGGCCAAGGCAGGAGGAUUGUUUGAGACCAGCCUGGGCAACGUAGGUAGACUAUGUUGCU